CAAUUUUCUUCAUUCUUUUCCUCUCCUCUCCUCUCCAAAUCCGCCGCCCAGAUCCUCUCCGAAUCCGCCGCCCAGAUCCCUUUUACCCUCCUCUCCGUUUUUCUUUCCGGCCAGUGCAGCCCAGAGAACGAGCAGCAAACAACACCAUCCAACAAUAGUCAUGAAAUCAGCAGCCAGACAGAAAUGGCGAGCUCCAACAGGCGCGUGGAGACCACCAGCGAGCCUCCAUCUAUGGCAGCAACUUCAAUGGGCGAGCAACCAAGCGACCACGCGGUACUCGUCCGCAACAUUUGCAGUCUGCUGAGACUCUCAGCUACAACAUUGAUGCAGAACUAUGUGGGAGCUCAAUAGCUUUGUCACAAUUACAACCAGAACAAGAGUAAAGCUACAGUGAGUUUUUCUUUCAGCUUUUUUAGUUAUCUAGUGUGGAUUGAAGAUAACCGUUUCUUAGUUUUCACACUUCAUUUUGUAAAGUUCGAUUUCAAAGAUUGUUGUUGCAUUGAAAAAAGCAUUUCGCCUUAGUUAUCUUGUGUGUCUCUUUGCUUUAUGAAUAAUUGAAGUGUGUACAAGUAGUCAUGUUUAAGAUGGGGCGCAUAAUGCAAACAUGAUCAUCCUCUAGUGGUAAUAAAUUAUAAAGAUUCAUUCAAUUAGGGUUCAUUCAUCAUUAAGUUGCUAAUAAUCUCCGUCCACGAAUGAAUUAUUUGAUUAUUUAUAUUUGUAGAUUCUGAUAUUGAUAGUUUCUCUUGAUGUGAAAAAUUUGACGUAAGUGGAUGCGCAUUAGCUAAUAUUACUUUCUUUAUAUGUAGUUAUGAAUAUAGAGAUAUGAUAACUUGUUGAAUUUAGUGAUUAUUUGUUAAUUAUAGUGAACUCAAUCUGUUAAUUUCAAUUUUGACAUAUACGAAAAGUCAAGGACUUGAUCGGGCCAUUUUCCGCAUUAUUUUCGUUACACGUAUGGUUGUCUCUAACAUUCAGUUCCACCAUUAGUCUCUCAAGUGUUCUUUACUUGCUUAAUUUGUAGGAAAUACAUUUCAGAACUAAUGUUCAGACUCCUAGUAUCAUCUAAGUAACAAACUUCAUGACAUCCAAAAUGUAUUUCCUACAAAUAAAGCAAGUAAAGAACACUUGAGAGACAGGUGGAGGAACUGAAUGUUAAAUAUAGUCACUUGUAUAAUGAAAAUAUUUCUGGAAAUGGUCUAAUCAAUUCCUUGGUUUUUCGUAUAUGUUAAAAUUAGAAAUAACAUAUCGAGUUCACUGUAAUUAACAAAUAUUCACUAAAAUAAACAAGUUAUCAGAUCACUAUAUUCAUAACUAAUUAUAUAUAAAGAAAUUAUUAUUAGCUAAUGUGCAUUCAUUUAUGUCAAAUAUCCUCACAUCCAGAAGAACUGUAGCUAUCAGAAUCUGCAAACAUAAAUAAUCAAAUAAUUCAUUCGUGGAGGGAGAGUAUUAGCAACAGAAUGAUGAAUUAACCCUAAUUGAAUGAAUCGCUAUAAUUUAUUACCAUUAGAGGAUAAUCCUGCUUGCAUUAUGUACCUCUCUCCCACCUUAAACAUGACUACUAAUACGCAUUUCACCUAUACAUAAAGCAAAGAGACACACGAGAUAAUAUAUUACAUUAUGUAUAACUAAUUAAGACGAAUGACUUCUUUCAAUGCAAUAACAAUCUUUGAACCCGAACUCUACAAAAUGAAGUGUGAAAACUAAGAAAUGCUCAUCUCCGAUCCGCACUAGAUAACUAAAAAAGUUGAAAGAAACUCACUGUAGCAUUACUCUUACUCUUGUUGUAACUUGUGACAAAGCUAUUGAGCUCCCACAUAGUUUCUGCAACAAUGCUGCAGAUGCUAUGUAGAAAUUUCACAUCAAGAAUCAGUCUAUGGACAGAGACUGCCUAGUCGAUUGGUUGCUCAUCAAUGGAGUUGCUAAUAUCGAUGGAGGUUCGCUGGUGGUUUUCGCGCACCUGCAUGAGCUCAUGAAUCGUGCUUCGUCGCUAAAAAAGUUAUUACUACCGACAAAAUUUUAUUGUUGGCUAGGAGCUCGCAUAUUACGUUGUCUUGGGGAAUCGAACUCACAACCUUAAGGUUGAAAGAGAAGAGUGCUUAUCAUUAGAUCAACACUCUCUUGUCUUCAUUUUUGUUUCAUUUUGUACUUCAUUCACUUUCUUCAAAUUUAACUUUGUAGAAACAAUAUAUUAUGUGAUUACUUCUACUCAUACACAAAUGCAUGAAACUAACCACCCACAAUUCAUUCAAAUGUAGAUUAUAUUGUAAUAAACUGUGUAUUUUUUAAAUAUCUUUAAA
Solanum pennellii is the source of this 2294-nucleotide long non-coding RNA. RefSeq lists it as uncharacterized. The transcript is spliced from 2 exons. The record is from RefSeq and is a predicted model, not a curated record. NCBI's taxonomy places the organism in Eukaryota, Viridiplantae, Streptophyta, Magnoliopsida, Solanales, Solanaceae.